RNAcentral lists this ribosomal RNA (251 nucleotides) under uncultured bacterium. RNAcentral's name for it is "partial 16S ribosomal RNA". It matches the Rfam family "Bacterial small subunit ribosomal RNA", at positions 85 to 339 of the family's 1533-position model. The record is from RNAcentral.
GAGGCGUCGAGCGGCGAACGGGUGAGUAACGCGUAGGAAUCUGCCUGAUAGUGGGGGAUAGCCCGGGGAAACCCGGAUUAAUACCGCAUACGCCCUACGGGGGAAAGCAGGGGAUCUUCGGACCUUGCACUAUUGGAUGAGCCUGCGUUGGAUUAGCUAGUUGGUGAGGUAAAAGCUCACCAAGGCGACGAUCCAUAGCUGGUCUGAGAGGAUGAUCAGCCACACUGGAACUGAGACACGGUCCAGACUCC